RNAcentral lists this ribosomal RNA (300 nucleotides) under uncultured delta proteobacterium. Its description in RNAcentral is "bacterial SSU rRNA". It matches the Rfam family "Bacterial small subunit ribosomal RNA", at positions 115 to 399 of the family's 1533-position model. The record is from RNAcentral. Lineage: Bacteria; Deltaproteobacteria.
ACGUGGGCAAUCUGCCCUUGGGAUCGGGAUAACCCGCCGAAAGGCGUGCUAAUACCGGAUAAGACCACGCUGUCCCCGGACAGUGCGGUAAAAGGUGGCCUCUCCAUGGAAGCUAUCACCUGAGGAUGGGCCCGCGGCCUAUUAGCUUGUUGGUGAGGUAACGGCUCACCAAGGCGACGAUGGGUAUCCGGCCUGAGAGGGUGAACGGACACACUGGCACUGAGACACGGGCCAGACUCCUACGGGAGGCAGCAGUGGGGAAUUUUGCGCAAUGGGGGAAACCCUGACGCAGCAACGCCG